RNAcentral lists this ribosomal RNA (1061 nucleotides) under Corynebacterium sanguinis. Its description in RNAcentral is "bacterial SSU rRNA". It matches the Rfam family "Bacterial small subunit ribosomal RNA", at positions 28 to 1102 of the family's 1533-position model. The record is from RNAcentral. Lineage: Bacteria; Bacillati; Actinomycetota; Actinomycetes; Mycobacteriales; Corynebacteriaceae.
GAUGAACGCUGGCGGCGUGCUUAACACAUGCAAGUCGAACGGAAAGGCCACAGCUUGCUGUGGUACUCGAGUGGCGAACGGGUGAGUAACACGUGGGUGAUCUGCCCUGUACUUCGGGAUAAGCUUGGGAAACUGGGUCUAAUACCGGAUAGGAAUCACAUGUGGGUGUGUGGUUGGAAAGCUUUUGCGGUAUGGGAUGAGCUCGCGGCCUAUCAGCUUGUUGGUGGGGUAAUGGCCUACCAAGGCGUCGACGGGUAGCCGGCCUGAGAGGGUGUACGGCCACAUUGGGACUGAGAUACGGCCCAGACUCCUACGGGAGGCAGCAGUGGGGAAUAUUGCACAAUGGGCGCAAGCCUGAUGCAGCGACGCCGCGUGGGGGAUGACGGCCUUCGGGUUGUAAACUCCUUUCGUCAGGGACGAAGCGAAAGUGACGGUACCUGGAUAAGAAGCACCGGCUAACUACGUGCCAGCAGCCGCGGUAAUACGUAGGGUGCGAGCGUUGUCCGGAAUUACUGGGCGUAAAGAGCUCGUAGGUGGUUUGUCGCGUCGUUUGUGUAAGUCCACGGCUUAACUGUGGGAUGGCAGGCGAUACGGGCAUAACUUGAGUGCUGUAGGGGAGACUGGAAUUCCUGGUGUAGCGGUGAAAUGCGCAGAUAUCAGGAGGAACACCGAUGGCGAAGGCAGGUCUCUGGGCAGUAACUGACGCUGAGGAGCGAAAGCAUGGGUAGCGAACAGGAUUAGAUACCCUGGUAGUCCAUGCCGUAAACGGUGGGCGCUAGGUGUGAGUCCCUUCCACGGGGUUCGUGCCGUAGCUAACGCAUUAAGCGCCCCGCCUGGGGAGUACGGCCGCAAGGCUAAAACUCAAAGGAAUUGACGGGGGCCCGCACAAGCGGCGGAGCAUGUGGAUUAAUUCGAUGCAACGCGAAGAACCUUACCUGGGCUUGACAUACACCAGAUCGGCGCAGAGAUGCGUUUUCCCUUGUGGUUGGUGUACAGGUGGUGCAUGGUUGUCGUCAGCUCGUGUCGUGAGAUGUUGGGUUAAGUCCCGCAACGAGCGCAAC